This 399-nucleotide ribosomal RNA is filed under the name uncultured bacterium. RNAcentral's name for it is "bacterial SSU rRNA". It matches the Rfam family "Bacterial small subunit ribosomal RNA", at positions 29 to 414 of the family's 1533-position model. The record is from RNAcentral.
AACGAACGUUAGCGGCGCGCCUAACACAUGCAAGUCGCACGAGAAAGGGCUUCGGCCCCGGUAAAGUGGCGCACGGGUGAGUAACACGUGGGUAAUCUGCCCUCGAGCAGGGGAUAACAUUCCGAAAGGAGUGCUAAUACCGUAUAAGACCACGACCUCGAAAGAGGAUGCGGUCAAAGCUGGCCUCUAUUCAUAAGCUAGCACUUGAGGAUGAGCCCGCGGUGCAUCAGCUAGUUGGUGAGGUAAUGGCUCACCAAGGCUAAGACGCAUAGCUGGUCUGAGAGGAUGAUCAGCCACACUGGAACUGAGACACGGUCCAGACUCCUACGGGAGCAGCAGUGGGGAAUCUUGCGCAAUGGGGGAAACCCUGACGCAGCGACGCCGCGUGAGUGAUGAAGG